AUGUGUGAUCCUGGCUCAGAUUGAACGCUGGCGGCAUGCCUUACACAUGCAAGUCGAACGGCAGCACGGGGGCAACCCUGGUGGCGAGUGGCGAACGGGUGAGUAAUACAUCGGAACGUGUCCUGUAGUGGGGGAUAGCCCGGCGAAAGCCGGAUUAAUACCGCAUACGAUCUACGGAAGAAAGCGGGGGAUCGCAAGACCUCGCGCUAUAGGGGCGGCCGAUGGCAGAUUAGCUAGUUGGUGGGGUAAAGGCCUACCAAGGCGACGAUCUGUAGCUGGUCUGAGAGGACGACCAGCCACACUGGGACUGAGACACGGCCCAGACUCCUACGGGAGGCAGCAGUGGGGAAUUUUGGACAAUGGGGGAAACCCUGAUCCAGCAAUGCCGCGUGUGUGAAGAAGGCCUUCGGGUUGUAAAGCACUUUUGUCCGGAAAGAAAACUUCUGCCCUAAUACGGCGGGAGGAUGACGGUACCGGAAGAAUAAGCACCGGCU
This 494-nucleotide ribosomal RNA is filed under the name Burkholderia sp. EPML128. Its description in RNAcentral is "bacterial SSU rRNA". It matches the Rfam family "Bacterial small subunit ribosomal RNA", at positions 9 to 498 of the family's 1533-position model. Lineage: Bacteria; Pseudomonadati; Pseudomonadota; Betaproteobacteria; Burkholderiales; Burkholderiaceae. The record is from RNAcentral.